Molecule: long non-coding RNA, 3927 nt
Organism: Petromyzon marinus (sea lamprey)
Lineage: Eukaryota; Metazoa; Chordata; Hyperoartia; Petromyzontiformes; Petromyzontidae
Source: RefSeq, a predicted model, not a curated record
GCAUCAGGUAUCCGCAUCUGAAAUUAGCAUUAAAAGCGGGUAAUGAAUACACCUUGUUUACAUAUCUGCCACUACACAUGUAGAAACAAUGAAAGCAUUUUGUUUUAAGUCCUUUUUAUUAAUAAAUGAAAGUUUUCUAUUUACACAUCCCGUCAGCCACAUGGCCAUCUUCUUUCUGAGAGUGCAUUUAGUUGCAGCAUGUCAGCAACACAAGCAAACUCUGCACUGAUUUUGAAACCAAUUGUCUCAUCAGCAGCUUGUACUGCCAGACAAACCAUGAGACCAAUAUCAACUGAAUUCUCACUGCCCCCCCCCACCCAAUAUAAAUUUGAUGGUGGUGUGUAUAUGCAAUUCGCCAACUCAGAAAAAGACAUUGAAUGGCUGAAUCUCUCUUCUACUCGUUGCUCUUCAUUUGCCAUACAAAAUUAUUAGCAGCAGCCCAGUGCGGGAAGAGGCCGUCAUCCAGCAGCGGAGCGAUGAAACGACUGUGCUUCAUUGUCCCCUAUUAAGAUGUUCUUCCAUAUUAUGUACACUGUUGAGAUCCAUUAUUUCGGCAGACAAGAGAAUGUUUGAGUGCUUUUGGAAAUCUGGAUUCCUCUGACCAUUGCCAUUUAUAUUUACCAACCAUCUAGCUUGAGAUGCAGUUACAUUAUAUAUUGUUUACAAAUUCACAUUGUCUUGUAACUAAGUAGGGGUACUAAGCAGUGGCCAGUAAACUAAAACCCGUUUUCAGAACUGAUUUACCGGUGACAGAAGUAAGGAACCAAUAAUCGUUUCCAGUGUAAAUGUAGUAAUGAAUGCACUGGUUGGCACACAGCACGUGAACAAAUGGCACGGCGGCCUAAGUCACAACACGGUACAUUUGCCCUCGUUUCUCAGUUUAAAGGUUAAUGGUGCAGCUCUGCAAUUUCUCGCUCACACAACUGCUGGCAGAAGUGCCUCCCACUCAAGGGAGUUCUACUUGGGCUACUCUUCAACGCAGACCAGACGUCUUAAUUGUAAGAGGUGGGCAUAACCACACUUUAUCCCAUCACACACCGUGGUGCAUCAAUUUAUAGAGGCGGGCAUGGGAUGUAAUAAACUUUCCCCAUUGUUUUAACUGCCGCGCCGGGAAAUAUAAUCGGAUUGCAAGUGCGGAGGUCACGGUAGCUCACCUCGUUUCUCAGUUGAAAAACUAAAAAAAUUGUGUUAAUUUCUACAUGUGUGGAAAACCGUUUUGUUACCGGGUUUGCAUGCGAUUACCAGUAUAUUAAUGCAAAAAAUAUAUAAUUUGAACAACUCUAAUUAUAAGUUAGAUCUGCCGCUAACCCUUGGUACUGAACAGCCAAAGUGGUUAAUUUCCCAAGUUGAAACCCUAUCACACUUGAUUGCAUUUCAUUUUAAUUUCCAGGAAGGGCCUUGAUACUUGAUACUGGAACAUUCUCCCAAACCCUUCUGGGAUGUCCGAUUUCACUUGUGUGUAAACUGCACGGCAGCAUUGACCCAAUAUGUAGUGGGCAUAAUAUGUUACAGUAAAGUAUUGUAUGAUAUAAUACCAUGUACAUACGUUAAAACAAACAUAAGUUACAUUUCUGCACGACAAGAGUUUUCAGGUUUACUUAUCGACUUUCUUAGAACUUUAUGCCACAUGUCUUUUUUUCAUGAUAAAAUUGCAUUGUAUUCUUAUCAAUAUUAAAAUGAAACGAUUUGUAUUAAUGAGGUUGUCACUUUUAUUUGUGUUUAGGAAUUUAGAGAAGAUAUAUUUCAACCUCAUGUUUUCAUAGUCUUAAUAUCUUAAAAACACACUGCAGUAUGUCAACAACAUUAGAAUGUAUAAUAAAACACAAAUAGAGAGCAUACGUUUCUUAAACAUGCAAGCCAAACAAUGACUUGCGAAAAGUUUCAGUUGGUGCUUGGUAAAAAACAAGUACACAGAUAUGGGAUGACAGGGAUCCUCACUAGGCACAUGGUACAUCAGGAGUGUUGUGUGUUGAUGUGAAAAAGAAGAUAAUACAAUGUUAUUUUCGAGAAAGAGUUGCUGCAGUUAUUUAUAAACACUGCACAGGCCAUGUGCCCAGUGACUCAUCCCAGGGCCAGCCAAUAAAAGGCUAUGAGGCCCCUCUCUUACAGACUUCCUCCAAUAGAGAGUCUGCUAAGCCAGUGGCGUUUGCAUUAUUUCACCGGACUGACAAGAGUGCUGGAGUAAGAGAGAGAGAGAGCUGUACACUCACUAAACCAUACCGGCGUUUGUGGAACAGGAGGACAAUCUGCCCAAAGCAGGCCUGACACACACCAUGCACGCCAGCAACAGCUGUGGCCAGCUGCCAAGCUGAGCUUGCCUGAGCUCUGUGGGGGCCUGAAUGACUCGUGGCUGACCCUGACUCGCUUCCGCAGACAGCAUCCAGCUAAGUUCUGUGCAUGCUGUGCGGGGCUGGCGAUUGUGGGUCAUGCUGUUCCUGGAACUCUGAUCUCACUCUCUGUCUUGGUAGGUACACUGAUCUGGCAGUUUGUCAGCCACAACGAGGCCAUUCGAAAGGCUUGCACAGUCCUCCUUGCGCAAGUUCCCCAUGGAAGCAGACAAAGCAUCGCUCAGUGGCCCAGUGGCACACUCACGGCAACCGAAGAUGGUGCAGUCAAAGAAACCACCCACUCACAGGAAGGUGCUACAUUUGAAGAUUCAACGUCCACUAAGGAAUCCAGCUCAGAGGUUAAACAAGAGCAGCAGCCGAAUUCAGAAGAUCCAUUCAAAGAAGCCAAUCAAAUAAUCUGCACGGAAAUAAGAAAACCAGAUACUUUUGUUGGAGAGGAACAACAUAAAAAAGCGGCAAUAGAAUUAGUUUUUAAAAAUACUUUGAAAGCCAGUCAAGAAAAACUACCUCAUGAUCCCUGUAAGCUGAAACCCCACAAACAUGCUACAGAAAAGGAUACCAAGAGAGAGGCAGUAUGCAGUUUGAAUAGGGACAGAGUUGGUUCUGUGCCAAGUUUUGAAUAUAGCAUUUACACCAAUGUCUGUUAUACUGACCAAGAUAACUACACAACGUCAGACUUGGCUACCAUGUCGCUUGUUUCUCCACUGAGUCUUACUGGUGAGCAGUCGGGAAAUGUUUUUAAUCCUGCAGAAGCUCCACUUACUAAUAUGGAUGAGGCUAAUGGCCAAAUGAUAAACAAUUCCCAACUUUCAGGCUCUUCACCGAAUAUAAAGAGCGAUGUGAGCAAAUAUGGACCCAUUAUCUCCGAAGGAUGCAUCAUCCACUAUGCUGAGAUAACUGAAUUAAUCCCCAACAUUCCUUUGCCAUCUAAUUACACAGGUUCCACUAUGGAGGGAGUGUCAGAAAUGCAGCAUUACGUCGAUGGGUCAGAGAUAGGGGCUGCAGCCAAGGAAAAUGACAGCUACUGUGUCACAAGCACAGAGGCAUUCAGCAGACAUGAACACUCACACCUUAGCGUUGAAGAUUCUCUGCUGCUGUCCACUGCACCUGACCUCUCUGAACUUCUGUCCUCCGCCCUGGAGGAGGCUCCACCAUCAUGUAGUCCUGCUGCAGACCCGGAGCAGCUACCCAGCUCUGCUGAGGAGUCUACAGAUACCCACAGCAUCCCCCAGCAGAUCACCCUCUCCGAGUCAAAGGUGGACAAAGCGUCAACGCAGACCUGUGAGACAGAUGAGGAGGACAACGCUGAAGGUUUUGAAGUUCUGCAACAGGAGGAGCUACAGCAAAUGGAGGUGGAAAUGGCCAUACUGAACCAAAGUCAAUCUAACACGGUCUCUCCAGGAAAUGCAUCCACGGGAUUCUUGUCUCACCUGCUCAGAUAAAACAACACUACACAGUGAACGUGUUCUUUUUUAUGUACUUUCUUAUUGACUUGUAUUCAUUUGUGUUACAUGAAGAUAUUUCUUUUUUGAGCAUCUUGCUGUGAUUUAUUUUCAUUAUAAAAUUACAUUUUCUGAAA